AUUAGAUACCCUGGGUAGUCCACGCUGUAAACGAUGGAUACUAGGUGUGCGGGGACUGACCCCCUCCGUGCCGCAGCUAACGCAAUAAGUAUCCCACCUGGGGAGUACGAUCGCAAGGUUGAAACUCAAAGGAAUUGACGGGGGCCCGCACAAGCGGUGGAGUAUGUGGUUUAAUUCGACGCAACGCGAAGAACCUUACCAGGGCUUGACAUCCAACUAACGAAGCAGAGAUGCAUUAGGUGCCCUUCGGGGAAAGUUGAGACAGGUGGUGCAUGGUUGUCGUCAGCUCGUGUCGUGAGAUGUUGGGUUAAGUCCCGCAACGAGCGCAACCCUUAUUGUUAGUUGCUACGCAAGAGCACUCUAGCGAGACUGCCGUUGACAAAACGGAGGAAGGUGGGGACGACGUCAAAUCAUCAUGCCCCUUAUGUCCUGGGCCACACACGUACUACAAUGGCGGUCAACAGAGGGAGGCAAAGCCGCGAGGCAGAGCAAAUCCCUAAAAGCCGUCCCAGUUCGGAUUGCAGGCUGAAACCCGCCUGUAUGAAGUUGGAAUCCCUAGUAAUCGCGGAUCAGCAUGCCGCGGUGAAUACGUUCCCGGGCCUUGUACACACCGCCCGUCACACCAUGAGAGUCGGGGACACCCGAAGUCCGUAGUCUAACCGCAAGGGGGACGCGGCCGAAGGUGGGUUCGAUAAUUGGGGUGAAGUCGUAACAAGGUAC
Molecule: ribosomal RNA, 720 nt
Filed under: uncultured bacterium
Lineage: Bacteria
Description: bacterial SSU rRNA
Rfam family: Bacterial small subunit ribosomal RNA
Source: RNAcentral